CUGUCCUGGAACUCGCUCUGUGGACCAGGCUGACCUUAAACUCACAGAGAUCCACCUACCUCUGCCUUCUCUGCUGCAGCUACAGACAUAUAUGCCACCACCGCCCUGCUCGCUCUGCUUUUGACUGUCGACUCAAUCAAUGUGACCAGCUCUCUCAAGUUCCUGGAUCUAUGACUCCCCCCAGGUGAUGGGCUGUCACCAGAAAUUGUGAACUGAGAAACUCUGACUCCACAGUUGCUUUUUAUCAGGUAACAGAAAUGAAACUAAAACCUUGCUACUUGCCAGAAGGAAGUCUGAAAAGCACAUGUAUCAAGAAAUCAACGUCUAGAAGAGAGCAGUAUCAGGUCUUUGGCUGUGUCUCCUCUAAGCCUCACCAUCUACACCUUCGCAAGAUCCUCACCAAUCCUUCAACCCUAUAUAGACAUCGGUGUUUCCCAAGAGCACUGAGCAGCUCCGGUCUGAAUCAUCCUCCAUGCGCUUUAUUAUAUAUGCAGGUUACGAGCAUGUUGGCUCAGUUCCUGACCCACUCAACGGGUUUUAGUUGCUCAAGGGCAGAUUGCAAUAAAACUCAUCUUGCCACUUGGACCCAGUGCUGUGUUUCACCCUCAAGACAAGCUUUGAGUCAUUGCUUGAACUCUCUGCCCCGAACACCCUUUCCUAGGUGGCACCAAAGGAAGAACCUACAAGCUAUCCUCUGUCAGAACCAAGAUAAAAAUCUCGAUCUUGCCGAGCAUCAGUGGACACCUAGAGUAGACAUGUAAGUAUGGCAAAGGGCUUUCCGGUGCUUGGCCCAGCGUGCAAAGGAUCUGAAGGUGCUGCUACAUGGAUUGCUGCUUUUUAGUCACACAAGUGUCCAUGCACACAUAUAAACACAUGUACAUAAACACAUGUGUAAUUUGUAAAAUACAAAACCAUUUCAAGUCA
RNAcentral lists this small RNA (924 nucleotides) under Rattus norvegicus (Norway rat). RNAcentral describes it as "uncharacterized LOC102551809". The record is from RNAcentral. Lineage: Eukaryota; Metazoa; Chordata; Mammalia; Rodentia; Muridae.